CAGUCCGACGGUCGUUUAACUUGCCUCCCAAUCCUUCACACAUUGAUGGCGUCUGGAAAAAGAGAUGGGCUCUAAACUACAAAAGAUUUGACUGUCGAGACUUGACGGAGAUGCCAAGAACUGGACGAGUCGCAACCUGACGUUUAGAUUGCUGAAGAUUCCGAUGUGGAAUCUCUCUCCUAGUCGGAAGGGAUAUUGAGCUCAUUUUUCCCUAUGAAAUAGCUUAAGUUUGUAAUAAAACGACUGAGACUGUGAUCUUCCACAUACGAGGCUGGAAUCAGAAUUGUACCAUAGCACUUAAAAGAAAGAUAGUUUUAUGUCAUGUAUGUACAUAUUAUUGAAUGACAUAGAGAUAUUUGAGAACGUUGAAUUGUUGAAGUAGCUUUUGUACAUUUUCCAUGACUAUAUUUGCUACUGCAUCUCUGUCGUUGCACGCAUGUGGGGUUUAUAUACCAGAUCAGUCUGAUAUUACGUAUAUCGUAUCAAAAUCCCAGCAACAUAUUUCCAUGUUACGUAGGUUUGUAUGGUAAUAAAAUGAUACCGAUGCUACGGA
Long non-coding RNA from Branchiostoma belcheri (Belcher's lancelet), 553 nucleotides. RefSeq lists it as uncharacterized. The transcript has 2 exons. Lineage: Eukaryota; Metazoa; Chordata; Leptocardii; Amphioxiformes; Branchiostomatidae. The record is from RefSeq and is a predicted model, not a curated record.